This 229-nucleotide ribosomal RNA is filed under the name uncultured bacterium. RNAcentral's name for it is "partial 16S ribosomal RNA". It matches the Rfam family "Bacterial small subunit ribosomal RNA", at positions 111 to 334 of the family's 1533-position model. The record is from RNAcentral.
UAACGCGUAGGUAACCUGCCUUGUAGCGGGGGGAUAACUAUUGGAAACGAUAGCUAAUACCGCAUAACAAUGGAUGACCCAUGUCAUUUAUUUGAAAGGGGCAAAUGCUCCACUACAAGAUGGACCUGCGUUGUAUUAGCUAGUAGGUGAGGUAACGGCUCACCUAGGCGACGAUACAUAGCCGACCUGAGAGGGUGAUCGGCCACACUGGGACUGAGACACGGCCCAG